UGUCCUUUUGAUUAUAAUUUAAGGUCUAAUCUGCCCACUGAAGCAUUUUAAAUGGCCGCGGUAUUUUGACCGUGCAAAGGUAGCAUAAUAAUUAGUUUCUUAAUUAGAAGCUGGAAUGAAAGAUUGAAUGAGAAAAUGACUGUCUCAAAUUAAUUUAUUUAGAAUUUUAUUUUUAAGUUAAAAAGCUUAAAUGAUUUUAAAAGACGAGAAGACCCUAUAGAGUUUAAUUAAAAUUUAAAAAUUAGAUUUAUAGAUUUAAAAUUUUUAAUUUUUAAAUUUUAAUUUUGUUGGGGUGACAAAAAAAUUUAUUAAACUUUUUUUAUAUUUAAACAUUAAUAAAUGAAUUUUUGAUCCAAAAAUUUUGAUUAUAAGAUUAAAUUACCUUAGGGAUAACAGCGUAAUUUUUUUUAAGAGUUCUUAUCGAAAAAAGAGAUUGCGACCUCGAUGUUGGAUUAAAGUAUAAUUUUGGUGUAGAAGCUAAAAAAUUAGGUCUGUUCGACCUUUAAAACUUU
RNAcentral lists this ribosomal RNA (512 nucleotides) under Aphelocerus sp. 1 NLG-2013. RNAcentral's name for it is "partial 16S ribosomal RNA". It matches the Rfam family "Bacterial large subunit ribosomal RNA", at positions 1892 to 2597 of the family's 2925-position model. The record is from RNAcentral. Lineage: Eukaryota; Metazoa; Arthropoda; Insecta; Coleoptera; Cleridae.